Molecule: ribozyme, 70 nt
Filed under: unclassified sequences
Description: HDV ribozyme from F. prausnitzii
Rfam family: HDV ribozyme from F. prausnitzii
Source: RNAcentral
GUCAUCCGAAGUAGCCACCUCUCCGUGGUGGAUGACAGGCAACGGUCAGAAUGACCGGCUAAGUGCUGCA